Mycena filopes is the source of this 86-nucleotide non-coding RNA. Lineage: Eukaryota; Fungi; Basidiomycota; Agaricomycetes; Agaricales; Mycenaceae. The record is from the annotation of a GenBank genome assembly.
GGCUGGAUGGCCGAGUGGUCUAAGGCGCUAGAAUCAGGUGUUGUAUCUAGUCCUCCGGGGCGUGGGUUCGAAUCCCACUCCAGUCA